AUUGAACGCUGGCUGCAGGCCUAACACAUGCAAGUCGAGCGCGUGGCGCACGUGUGUGUAAUGUAUGGGGAUCUUCCCGAUAGAUGGGGAUAACUCCUGGAAACUGUGGCUAAUACCGCAUACUUGCCGUUGACCCCAUAUGGGAUUAGCUAGUAGGUGGGGUAAAGGCUCACCCAGGCGCCGAUCUCUAGCUGGUCUGAGAGGAUGAUCAGCCACACUGGGACUGAGACAAGGCCCAGAAUCCUACGGGAGGCAGCAGUGGGGAAUAUGGCACAAUGGGCGCAAGCCUGAGGCAGCCAUGCCGCGUGUAUGAAGAAGGCCUUAGGGUUGUAAAGUACUGUCAGCGGGGAGGCGUUACCCGCAGAAGAAGCACCGGCUAACUCCGUGCCAGCAGCCGCGGUAAUUC
RNAcentral lists this ribosomal RNA (406 nucleotides) under uncultured bacterium. RNAcentral's name for it is "partial 16S ribosomal RNA". It matches the Rfam family "Bacterial small subunit ribosomal RNA", at positions 30 to 526 of the family's 1533-position model. The record is from RNAcentral.